Molecule: ribosomal RNA, 445 nt
Filed under: uncultured bacterium
Lineage: Bacteria
Description: bacterial SSU rRNA
Rfam family: Bacterial small subunit ribosomal RNA
Source: RNAcentral
CCUACGGGUCGCACCAGUGGGGAAUAUUGCACAAUGGGCGAAAGCCUGAUGCAGCGACGCCGCGUGCGGGAUGACGGCCUUCGGGUUGUAAACCGCUUUCAGCUCUGACGAAGCUUUUGUGACGGUAGGAGCAGAAGAAGCACCGGCUAACUACGUGCCAGCAGCCGCGGUAAUACGUAGGGUGCGAGCGUUGUCCGGAAUUAUUGGGCGUAAAGAGCUUGUAGGCGGCUUGUCGCGUCUGCUGUGAAAACCCGGGGCUUAACCCCGGGCUUGCAGUGGGUACGGGCAGGCUAGAGUGUGGUAGGGGAGACUGGAAUUCCUGGUGUAGCGGUGGAAUGCGCAGAUAUCAGGAGGAACACCGAUGGCGAAGGCAGGUCUCUGGGCCAUUACUGACGCUGAGAAGCGAAAGCGUGGGGAGCGAACAGGAUUAGAUACCCUCGUAGUC